RNAcentral lists this ribosomal RNA (208 nucleotides) under uncultured bacterium. RNAcentral's name for it is "partial 16S ribosomal RNA". It matches the Rfam family "Bacterial small subunit ribosomal RNA", at positions 568 to 774 of the family's 1533-position model. The record is from RNAcentral.
CACGUAGGCGGACUCUUAAGUCGGUGGUGAAAUCCUGGAGCUCAACUCCAGAACUGCCUUCGAUACUGGGAGUCUUGAGUCCGGGAGAGGUGAGUGGAACUGCGAGUGUAGAGGUGAAAUUCGUAGAUAUUCGCAAGAACACCAGUGGCGAAGGCGGCUCACUGGCCCGGUACUGACGCUGAGGUGCGAAAGCGUGGGGAAGCAAACA